UACGUAGGGGGCAAGCGUUGUCCGGAAUCAUUGGGCGUAAAGAGCGUGUAGGCGGUCCGAUAAGUCCGCUCUGAAAGUCCGGGGCUCAACCCCGGGAGGCGGGCGGAUACUGUCGGGCUAGAGUCCGGAAGAGGCAAGUGGAAUUCCUGGUGUAGCGGUGAAAUGCGCAGAUAUCAGGAAGAACACCCGUGGCUAAGGCGGCUCUCUAGUACGGUACUGACGCUGAGACGCGAAAGCGUGGGGAGCAAACAGG
Molecule: ribosomal RNA, 253 nt
Filed under: uncultured bacterium
Lineage: Bacteria
Description: partial 16S ribosomal RNA
Rfam family: Bacterial small subunit ribosomal RNA
Source: RNAcentral